AUACAUGCAAGUAGAACGCUGAAGAGAGGAGCUUGCUCUUCUUGGAUGAGUUGCGAACGGGUGAGUAACGCGUAGGUAACCUGCCUUGUAGCGGGGGAUAACUAUUGGAAACGAUAGCUAAUACCGCAUAACAAUGGAUGACUCAUGUCAUUUAUUUGAAAGGGGCAAAUGCUCCACUACAAGAUGGACCUGCGUUGUAUUAGCUAGUAGGUGAGGUAACGGCUCACCUAGGCGACGAUACAUAGCCGACCUGAGAGGGUGAUCGGCCACACUGGGACUGAGACACGGCCCAGACUCCUACGGGAGGCAGCAGUAGGGAAUCUUCGGCAAUGGGGGCAACCCUGACCGAGCAACGCCGCGUGAGUGAAGAAGGUUUUCGGAUCGUAAAGCUCUGUUGUAAGUCAAGAACGAGUGUGAGAGUGGAAAGUUCACACUGUGACGGUAGCUUACCAGAAAGGGACGGCUAACUACGUGCCAGCAGCCGCGGUAAUACGUAGGUCCCGAGCGUUGUCCGGAUUUAUUGGGCGUAAAGCGAGCGCAGGCGGUUUGAUAAGUCUGAAGUUAAAGGCUGUGGCUCAACCAUAGUUCGCUUUGGAAACUGUCAAACUUGAGUGCAGAAGGGGAGAGUGGAAUUCCAUGUGUAGCGGUGAAAUGCGUAGAUAUAUGGAGGAACACCGGUGGCGAAAGCGGCUCUCUGGUCUGUAACUGACGCUGAGGCUCGAAAGCGUGGGGAGCGAACAGGAUUAGAUACCCUGGUAGUCCACGCCGUAAACGAUGAGUGCUAGGUGUUGGAUCCUUUCCGGGAUUCAGUGCCGCAGCUAACGCAUUAAGCACUCCGCCUGGGGAGUACGACCGCAAGGUUGAAACUCAAAGGAAUUG
Molecule: ribosomal RNA, 879 nt
Filed under: uncultured bacterium
Lineage: Bacteria
Description: bacterial SSU rRNA
Rfam family: Bacterial small subunit ribosomal RNA
Source: RNAcentral